Molecule: small nuclear RNA, 125 nt
Organism: Mytilus californianus (California mussel)
Lineage: Eukaryota; Metazoa; Mollusca; Bivalvia; Mytilida; Mytilidae
Product: U11 spliceosomal RNA
Exons: 1
Source: RefSeq, a predicted model, not a curated record
AAAAAGGGCCUUUAUCAUGUUUGAUACUCAGAUUGCAAAAUCUGGGCAGAGUCACCAUCAGGAGAUUUUGGGGGCAGAAUUUCUUCAAUUGGUGGCAGUUGGUACUCUUUAGGUCCAGUGCCCCC